Long non-coding RNA from Bactrocera dorsalis (oriental fruit fly), 617 nucleotides. RefSeq lists it as uncharacterized. The record is from RefSeq and is a predicted model, not a curated record. The transcript has 4 exons. NCBI's taxonomy places the organism in Eukaryota, Metazoa, Arthropoda, Insecta, Diptera, Tephritidae.
AAAUUUCUAAUUAACAGCUAAAAAAUUUUAUAAUGAUCUAAAGUUUCGCGAAUAAAAUUUUGAAGUCAAUCUCAUAACGUCAUUCAUAGUUUUGACAAUAUUGAAUAUCCAAUUUUCUGCAAAAUUGCUACGCUUUGACGUCUUAACUAGCACAUGCCCGGGAUUAAUACGAGUAGUACCGGAGCGGUGAACUGCUUUAUAUCUAUGAACUGGAUUGUAUCCAUGAACUGCAUUGUAUCUAAACGUCAGGUGUGAUCUAUUGCCGCCUAAGCCGGAGCGUUUCUCAUUGCCACUCCUUCUGAUAUAUAUGAUGUUGAGAGCUGGGGUGAAGAGUCAAGACAAUGGAGCAGUUCGCAUGAAAGCAAAAAUGUGUUGAAAAGAGUUCGCAGAUAUGCAUAUGGUGGUGUUCUUAGAAAUUUAAACAAAAUUUUGAAGCGAACACAAAACUGACAAAAGUUGAACGAAGAAAGCUCAAGGAGUCAUUAUGUUACUUGAUAUAGAAUAGUGAUUCAACAUUUGAGCACGUCCAAGAGCGCUCUACGUAUGUGCGUAUCGGUGGUUUAGUCGGUCGAGCUUGUAAAUUUUUCGCGAAGUAUGCUAUAUCGUCUAUGGUAUCU